UACGGGGGGGGCAAGCGUUGUUCGGAAUUACUGGGCGUAAAGGGCUCGUAGGCGGCCAACUAAGUCGGACGUGAAAUCCCCAGGCUCAACCUGGGAACUGCGUCUGAUACUGGAUGGCUUGAAUCCGGGAGAGGGAUGCAGAAUUCCAGGUGUAGCGGUGAAAUGCGUAGAUAUCUGGAGGAAUACCAAUGGCGAAGGCAGCUCUCUGGGACGGUACUGACGCUGAGACGCGAAAGCGUGGGGAGCGAACAGG
This 253-nucleotide ribosomal RNA is filed under the name uncultured bacterium. RNAcentral's name for it is "partial 16S ribosomal RNA". It matches the Rfam family "Bacterial small subunit ribosomal RNA", at positions 524 to 776 of the family's 1533-position model. The record is from RNAcentral.